GAUGAACGCUGGCGGCGUGCCUAAUACAUCCAAGUCGAGCGAACAGACGAGGAGCUUGCUCCUCUGACGUUAGCGGCGGAAGGGUGAGUAAAACGUGGAUAACCUACCUAUAAGACUGGGAUAACUUCGGGAAACCGGAGCUAAUACCGGAUAAUAUAUUGAACCGCAUGGUUCAAUAGUGAAAGACGGUUUUGCUGUCACUUAUAGAUGGAUCCGCGCCGCAUUAGCUAGUUGGUAAGGUAACGGCUUACAAAGGCGACGAUGCGUAGCCGACCUGAGAGGGUGAUCGGCCACACUGGAACUGAGACACGGUCCAGACUCCUACGGGAGGCAGCAGUAGGGAAUCUUCCUCAAUGGGCGAAAGCCUGACGGAGCAACGCCGCGUGAGUGAUGAUGGUCUUCGGAUCGUAAAACUCUGUUAUUAGGGAAGAACAAAUGUGUAAGUAACUAUGCACGUCUUGACGGUACCUAAUCAGAAAGCCACGGCUAACUACGUG
RNAcentral lists this ribosomal RNA (497 nucleotides) under uncultured bacterium. RNAcentral's name for it is "partial 16S ribosomal RNA". It matches the Rfam family "Bacterial small subunit ribosomal RNA", at positions 28 to 507 of the family's 1533-position model. The record is from RNAcentral.